AAGCGCUGCACUAUGCGUGUGCUGCUGUGAGCACAUGGAGGAGAGAGGACGUACACUUAGCAGCCUGGCUAAUGUAGCCUGUGGCUCGCAAAAUAUUAGGAAAUGAAGAUCAUCUCAGAUCUGGAAAGUGGACUGACUUGCCUAAGGCGUCCAACAUGGCCUUGGACGUGUCAAAAAUAUCUUGUGUCACGAAGAUGAACAAAGGUCUUACGGGUUUGGAAUGACAUGAGGUGAUCAGCCGCUCUGCCGGCCUCCGUUUGGAAACUGACGGUGAUGCCAGUUGACGGAAAUGGGACGUCAUGUGAACGCUACAUGUGAAUGUGUGUGACGUGCGGUUGCUGCGUUUUUCGGGUACGUCAUGGCUGGAAGCAGGCUUUAGAUACUCACCCGGUCCCAAAAUGGAAUUAUGGCAGCAGAGCACACUGCUGGAUCGGCCGUCGCUGGACGUGACACAGCAGGUGUUCCUCCCAACAUGGGGGGAAAAAAGCCACACGUGAAGGUGCUGUAAUGCUGUAGCCUUCUGCAAGGAUCAGGUCACCAGGCUUUGGAUUGUGAUAGGCUCCAUCUAGCCUUGGUCACAUCCAUAUAUAGAGCAAGACGUUAUGGCUGUGUGCGCAGAAAGCAUGCCGCUUGUGAAACGGGGGAAUUAAAUGUCCUAGAGAGGCUGUUCCAGGCCUGUCGCUCUGAGGGGCCUCUGAGCGUUUUCCCCCGGCUGUGCGUGCAGCUGCGGCUGUAAAACCUCCGCCGUCAGCAGCUGAUAGUGAUCUGUGUUUGCAGUGCAGCAUCUGCAUAAUCAGUAUGCAUGUCUGUGUCUCGGGGAUGAGAGAACAAUAUUGAGGAUAUGAGCAGUCCCUUCACCUUCAAGAGUCAUCUUCAAAAUGGCGUUUGUUCUUUUUCCUAAGUUUCACUUUGAGAAACCAGCCGGGGUAUCAGCCAUUCACUCUGGCACUGAGGAAUACGGUGAAGAGGCCGUUCUGUGCGAUAAGAGUGCUACGCCGGACACCAUGACCUUCAGAGGACUGGACUGAACUUGAACUGUGUUUAAGCAGCAUGAAGUCAGUAACAUGAGGCUUUUACCUAAACACAAGGUCUACCUGGAGCCAUGAGUCAUACUGCCAUCAACCUCACUCAAACCGUAACGCUGAUGUCACCAGAGAUCUUAAACAGUGAAGAGGUUGUGUGUCUGUUAUCCAUAUCCUCUGCUGGAGGACUCAAACUGGACUGAAUUCCUUUGUAAAGUGGUCUCUCACCUUUAUCGUGGGACAUGUCAUCGUUACUGGGUGGUCCUGUCAAAGAGCAGGCCAGGCACACGUGUACCAGCUCUCUGAAGAAGGCCAGUUCAGUGGAAACUACCAAGCAAACACUCUGAAAAGGACACACGCUCCCUCAAUGUCAGCAAAUAUUUGGUCACAACUUCAAAGGGAAGUGACAGUCGUUUGAAACUGGGAAUGAAGGCACUAUUUGAGCAGCGCGAGAGGUCCCGUCACGCUCGACUGCCGGCAUUUACGCUCCGUCCUCUCUCACUGCACACCUUCCCAUGGAGAUUGGCUCAACUUUGUUUCCUCUAAGAUGAAUGUCUCUCUGAACCUCUUGUGGCAUUUGAGUGAACUGCAGUUACAGAUUCCAGCUCUGAGGUGAUUCAUCGAAUUGGAGCUACAGAGGAAUUUGCUGCAUCACAGACCAAAUCUGUUCAGAUUUUCACGUGUACACAACAUUCCUUUGACGUGACCAACAA
Long non-coding RNA from Labeo rohita (rohu), 1735 nucleotides. RefSeq lists it as uncharacterized. Lineage: Eukaryota; Metazoa; Chordata; Actinopteri; Cypriniformes; Cyprinidae. The transcript is spliced from 9 exons. The record is from RefSeq and is a predicted model, not a curated record.